GCCGGAGACGGAAACCCUGAAUAUAACGACAACUUCCUGCCGCAAGAGGGCGCAGCCGCCCCACGAAACAUUAUCCCCACGUUCACUAAUCUUCACCGAAGCGUCUGAUCUCCCUCACGUGCGCAAAUAUAUGUCCAUGGAUGAUCAGUGUGGUACCCUCUGGUUCAGGUUCCUGUCCGUCUCGGUCCUCCACAUCUCCCUGUGGUUCUGAGACUCUGCCUACACCAACGGCCCAGGAUCCCCCAGUGUUUUCCCUCGAAUGGAACAGGGUACCAUGGCUUAUACAGCGCAUCCAGAGGCCCUGGGUCCAGCUUCACUCGGGCAACAUGCAGUGGCAGGUGUGCUGGUGCACAGAUGGAUCAGGAGAUGCUGCCUGCUGGUUAGCCUCUCUCUAAAAGGCUGUGUUUGGGGACUGGAUAUCGAAGCAAUUAAAAGAUCUCUGUCUGAGGAUCUACACAUUUCUACGCUGGAUGCUUUUUGUGACUGUUGAUCAUUUUCAUUCGUGGGAAGAUUAUAUUUUAUCCAGCUUGGCAUUGCCAAGUGCCUGCCCCGCUUGUAUCAUGUCCCUGACUUUCCUGUGUAUUUAUGAUUAAACAUCGAAUGGUGCUCAGCUCUCUGCAGGUAGAACACACAAUAAGUCGACUUUUGCCCAUUAAGACAAAGAUACAUAAUCACUGAGCGUGUUUGCAGAGUAAAAACUCAGUGAUGAAGUGUCAAAUGCAGUUUGGAUUUGAUUAUAUACCCAGUUUAAACUGCUCCUUAAUUCAAUUACAGCAAAGUAUGUUAAUAGCGCCAGUUUGUUGAAAUGUGAGGGUGUGUUCGGGCCGCCUGUGGGAGAGAGAACAUCUGCACGGCUCUGCGCUGAACGCUUUGUGUGCGAGUUAUAAAGAGGGAGGCAGAUAACGCCAUGGGGAGGAUAGUGUGCGGAGAGAGCAUGUGUGUCAGUGCAUGUGGGGCGUGAAUGGAGAAGAGGAGAUAUGUCUUCAUAAUAUAGUGUUAAAAAUCCAUUCAGCACCGUCCAUCCCUACUUUUUUUAUCUGAUGACUGCCCCCCCCCUUCCUUUCUCUCUCCGUCUCACUGUCUCCCUUUCACUUCCUGACAUCUACCAGGUGGCAGGGCCGAUAUGUGAGAUGCUGAGUAGGUGAUUUUAGAAUAUUCGUCGAGGAUCAUUCGAUCAUCCCCGCCCCGUGUGUGAGGGAGAUUUGUGGGAACCAUUUGAAUACUAAUGUGUGAUUUUCACCUCACGGGAUAAAAGAGGAGUCUGUGGCUGUGGAUUGUGGAAGCAAGAGACAAAAAGUGACAUUGUCACCGAGCAUAUAUGGCAGCCAAUUUUCAUUUGAGAUGAGUGGGAUCUCACUUUAAAUCUAACUCUAUAUCCCGGUUUGAUAAUCCCCCUUACUCUACAGACCACUCAGGGUAUUACCUGGUGGUUACAAUGCUUCAAUCAUGGUGAAAAAUACCUCUCUGGAGAAAUGGCUGUGUCUGCUAAUUUCUGAAAAUGGCAAUUUGACAAGCAAGGCCAUUUCAAAGAAGCCACUGACAAAGCGUAUGGACUAGACAAAACAAGUUCUAAUUUUACCUCUGCCAUGGAGGUGAUGUUUUCAUUUCUGACUGCUUGCUUGUCUGUCUGUCUAUUAGUUUGUUUCUAAGCGGCAUUACAAAAAAAACUACUGCACAGAUUGCCAUGAAAUUUAGUGGAAGGAUAUGUCAGGAAUGAACCUAUUACAUUUCGAGUGCAGUUUCUGGUCAGGGAGCGGAUCCAGGAAGGUUUUUUCACAUUAACAUUGUGACACAGGGCAUUUUUCAACUCAGAGUACAAUUCAUGGAUCUUGAUAAAAAAACAAUCUGACAUGUUUAGGGGAAUGAUAUUUAUGAGUGUGUGCAAUUUAGUGUAGAUCCAAAUAAAAAUCUGGAUAUAGUGGAUUUAAAUGUGGUUUCAUAAGGGGACUGUUAGGGCUUGGCAAAGGCGUGCUCUCUUCUGAAUGAAAUUCUCAUUUUCAUUUUCCCCUCAACUGCUUCCACUGCCUUUCGUUCCCAGUGAAAUAGUAAAAAUGCCUUUAUGUCCCCAUUUUGUUAUGAUUCACUGUGUCUCAGCCUUCUUGCCCCAACUCUGA
Hippoglossus stenolepis (Pacific halibut) is the source of this 2114-nucleotide long non-coding RNA. RefSeq lists it as uncharacterized. Lineage: Eukaryota; Metazoa; Chordata; Actinopteri; Pleuronectiformes; Pleuronectidae. The transcript is spliced from 4 exons. The record is from RefSeq and is a predicted model, not a curated record.